RNAcentral lists this transfer RNA (71 nucleotides) under Litoria nasuta (Australian rocketfrog). RNAcentral describes it as "tRNA-His". It matches the Rfam family "tRNA". Rfam says of the family: Transfer RNA (tRNA) molecules are approximately 80 nucleotides in length. Their secondary structure includes four short double-helical elements and three loops (D, anti-codon, and T loops). Further hydrogen bonds mediate the characteristic L-shaped molecular structure. tRNAs have two regions of fundamental functional importance: the anti-codon, which is responsible for specific mRNA codon recognition, and the 3' end, to which the tRNAs corresponding amino acid is attached (by aminoacyl-tRNA synthetases). tRNAs cope with the degeneracy of the genetic code in two manners: having more than one tRNA (with a specific anti-codon) for a particular amino acid; and 'wobble' base-pairing, i.e. permitting non-standard base-pairing at the 3rd anti-codon position. The record is from RNAcentral. Lineage: Eukaryota; Metazoa; Chordata; Amphibia; Anura; Pelodryadidae.
AGUGAAUAUAGUUUAAUUAAAAUUUUAGUCUGUGAAUCUAAAAAUGAGAGCUAAUUACUCUCUAUUCACCG